AUUGAACGCUAGCGGGAUGCUUUACACAUGCAAGUCGAACGAGUGGCGGACGGGUGAGUAAUGUAUCGGAACGUUCCCAGUAGCGGGGGAUAAAUACUCGAAAGAGUGGCUAAUACCGCCUACUAUUGGUACGGCCGAUAUCGGAUUAGCUAGGUGGGGGGGUAAAGGCUACCCAGGGCAACGAUCCGUAGCUGGUUUGAGAGGAAGAACGGCCACACUGGGACUGAGACACGGCCCAGACUCCUACGGGAGGAGGCAGUGGGGAAUUUUGGACAAUGGGGGAAAUCCUGCUCCAGCCAUCCCGCGGGUAUGAGAAGGCCUUCGGGUUUUAAAGUACUUUUGGCAGAGAAGCGGUAUCUGCAGAAUAAGCACCGGCUAACUACGUGCCAGCAGCCGCGGUAAUUC
This 405-nucleotide ribosomal RNA is filed under the name uncultured bacterium. RNAcentral's name for it is "partial 16S ribosomal RNA". It matches the Rfam family "Bacterial small subunit ribosomal RNA", at positions 30 to 526 of the family's 1533-position model. The record is from RNAcentral.